Molecule: long non-coding RNA, 1324 nt
Organism: Sciurus carolinensis (gray squirrel)
Lineage: Eukaryota; Metazoa; Chordata; Mammalia; Rodentia; Sciuridae
Exons: 3
Source: RefSeq, a predicted model, not a curated record
ACAAGUUUGAAAGUACACAUGUUCUUCCAAAUACACCAGGUCCAUUAGUGCCCUGGUUUAAAGACUAUGAAAAUAUGCAGUAUUAAUAAACAGUGGCGACAUUUCCUGGCAGCAAAGAUGUUGUUCAGCGGAGAGGAAGCUAAAUGCUACAAAUGCAGCCCUUGAGUUGUCACCAGCUGGAAGAUGGAAAAAUACUUUGAAGAUUUCCCCCAACCCCAUGAUCUCCUCAUCUUUAAAUGCCAGAUCUCUGGCUUCUCAGCCCUUGGAGAGGAGUAUAACUCAGUCCAAUUUGGCCUUACUCCCAUGCACCAAUUGCCGGGGGGAUGUUAUUUGCCGAGUACAAGUAGUUCUCAAUGGACCUUGGUUGGAGACAUCAGAGGAAUUCCAUUUCCAUAUGCUAUCAUAGUUGCUAGGAAAAAUCUUUCCAUGUUUACAGUAUUACUUUACAGCUGAAAAAUGUAAGAAUGUACCGUGGUUUGUUUAUCCAUUCACCUCUUGAAGGACAUCUUGGAUUCUUCAGUUUAUGGCCACUGCCUUGUACCAUAAACAUCAGGCAGAUUUUGUGUGGAGGUGAGUUUUCAACACAUUUGGAUAAAUACCUAGGGGUGUGAUUGCUUGAUCACAUGGUAAGGGUAUGUUUAAUUUUGUUAAGAAACUGCCAAACUGUGUUCCAAAGAGGUUGUAUUAUUUUACAUUACCUCCAGCAAUGAAAAGAGUAUUCUUGUUUCUUUCAUGAAUUCUUUAUACAUUGGUAACUAAUUCAAAAAACAAAUGUUUAACAAAUAGACUGGUAACCUAGUUGUAGAUGAAAAAUAUCCAGAGAAUGAACGUCUUAAGUUAGGUUCAAUUUACCAGUUGUAACUUACCUUCUUUCAUUUUGGAACGUAAUUUGGGUCUUUCUGUUUCAGUAAUUAAGAUACUUCCCAUUACAUGUCUCCUGAAAUCCACAUUGAAAUCCUGGCCUCCCCAAGAGCAAUGUGUGCUAUAUUAAAUUUGGUCUUUGUUGAUUUCUUUUCCUUUCUAUAUUUACCUGCAAAUUUGGUUAAAAUUAUUUUGACUACAUCUGUGAGGCACUUUCCCAAAUGAUUUUUACUAGGAUAUAUUCUAUUUUUAAAGUGACUUUAAACAAAAACUUUUAUUAGCCAUUUAAUGUUAAUCUAAUUUCACACCAUACUUCACAGUUUCUUAGCAAAUACCUGUAUGCUCAAAUACAUUGAUGAGUUUUUCAAUAAUCUAUGUACUUUCCUAACUUAUUGAUUUUGUGUCACAAAUAUAUUUAUAAUUUACCAUUAUACACUAUGUAAGCUGAGAUUAUUUUUUAGUC